GAUGAACGCUGGCGGCGUGCCUAAUACAUGCAAGUCAAGCGAACGGACGAGAAGCUUGCUUUUCUGAUGUUAGCGGCGGACGGGUGAGUAACACGUGGAUAGCCUACCUAUAAGACUGGGAUAACUUCGGGAAACCGGAGCUAAUACCGGAUAAUAUUUUGAACCGCAUGGUUCAAAAGUGAAAGACGGUCUUGCUGUCACUUAUAGAUGGAUCCGCGCUGCAUUAGCUAGUUGGUAAGGUAACGGCUUACCAAGGCAACGAUGCAUAGCCGACCUGAGAGGGUGAUCGGCCACACUGGAACUGAGACACGGUCCAGACUCCUACGGGAGGCAGCAGUAGGGAAUCUUCCGCAAUGGGCGAAAGCCUGACGGAGCAACGCCGCGUGAGUGAUGAAGGUCUUCGGAUCGUAAAACUCUGUUAUUAGGGAAGAACAUAUGUGUAAGUAACUGUGCACAUCUUGACGGUACCUAAUCAGAAAGCCACGGCUAACUACGUG
Molecule: ribosomal RNA, 497 nt
Filed under: uncultured bacterium
Lineage: Bacteria
Description: partial 16S ribosomal RNA
Rfam family: Bacterial small subunit ribosomal RNA
Source: RNAcentral